RNAcentral lists this transfer RNA (71 nucleotides) under Bos taurus (domestic cattle). It matches the Rfam family "tRNA". Rfam says of the family: Transfer RNA (tRNA) molecules are approximately 80 nucleotides in length. The record is from Rfam by way of RNAcentral. Lineage: Eukaryota; Metazoa; Chordata; Mammalia; Artiodactyla; Bovidae. RNAcentral also lists the same sequence under 1 other name.
UCACUGGUGGUCCAGUGGUUAAGAAUCCAGCUUGCAAUGCAGGGGACUCAGGUUCGAUCCUGAUCAGGGAA